AUUCAACAAUAUACCUGAGAGCUUACUGCCACAAGACACUCAUGAGAGCUAGCAUUUAUGGUGGAUACUCUAUAUGCCAGGCACAGGGCGCCACGUAUUUUCCCUCGACAGUAACUUGGCAAGCUUUUCAUGUCACUCUGGCAUCGCUCAGAUUAUCAGCUACCCUUCAGAAAAAGAGCCCUGCGUUUCGAUGGCUAAGGAACUCUGACAGGAAGAGGAGAGGUCCCGACUAGAGGAGGGGGCAGCAUUCAUCUUUUGGCACCGGUGAGUCAGUUUGCGAAGUUGGCGGCAGCGAGACCCCGAGGCAUCUGGGAGACCCCGGAGUUCUGACUGCCCUACUCCGCUUUCGUUUCCUUCCCCCCACCCCUGGCUUCCCGGGUAUUGGAAGCCAGCUGGGUCCCCGGGGUCGCAGGCCGCCCAGAGGUUCGAGCCGCGCGCCGGGGUGGGGCAGCGCGGGGCACCGCCUCCCUCCAUACCUUCUCUCCCCGUGGAGCACAUAGGAGCUGCGGAAGAAGCCCAGGAGCUCAUUCUCGAUGAGCGCGUUGUAGAUAAUCUUCAGAUUGUAAUUCCUCUGCGCGUCCAGUGUCCUAUUCAGCACCACCACUAAGACCUGGGUUUGCGGGUAGAGGAAAAAACCGGCUACAGGGACAGCCCCGAACGCCCGGUCCUCGGCCAGCUGCACUUUCUCCACCGCCACUCGGGAAGCGUGCAGCACUACGUAGCGGGUGGCGUUCCGGCACGCGAUCUCCACGUUGACCUCCCCGGAGAAGGUGAAGUUCUCCAUGAAGGCGGUGAGCAUCAGAUUGUAGUGCAGCGGCUUCAGGUGGCCCGACAGGCGCAGCUGCGUCCACGGCUCCCACGGCUCCCGCUCCUCCUCCGACGGCGGCUGGGCCGACGUGGUCCCCGGACUGGCCACCCCACCCGCCUCGGGCUGCCAGGAGUCCCCGCCUGCGUGGUGGUUGCGCCGGGCCGAUCCAGGGAGGCUCCCGUUGCCGCCGCGCUCCGGAAAGCCUGAGGGGCCACCGUCGGCGCCUGGCGUGGCACUCGCCCCGCACUCGUCGAAGCGCAGGCUGAGCAGCACAGCGAGCAUUGUGACCGCGAGCAAUGCCACGAGGGACACAGCGAAGGCCAGCACAAGCCGCUUGUGUACGGCGAUGUGGCGCUCCGUGGUGCGGGGUCGCACUCCCACUGAGUCUGCCCACGGGUCGGAGAGCCCCCUGCUGCCAGCCCGAAGCGCGGCGUCGUCUUCCCCCAUCGCGGCUGCGAAGGCGGCGGCGUUCGGUCCUCUGGGUGGAAUGUGCUCGCAGCAGCAGUGACGGCGGCCACAGCACGGGAGGCACCCGAGCCAUACACCCUGCAGCUGGAGAGAAAAGGAUGGCCGAGGUGGGAGAGACUAGAGUGAACCAGCAGGAGGAAGUCCCAGGGCCGCGAAGCUACGACGGAGAUCCGUCCUGGAAAAGCCUUCUCCACCCUGGGCACUUUAAGCGGCGGUGGCGGCAAACGGCAGGAGGUUGCAGACCCGACAGCGAGACUCCCUCAUUCCAGUCUUGCUCUGCCCUCCGGAGAUGACAAGUGAGAAAGAAGUGUCCGGCCGGGCCAUCCCCUUCAGAGAAGCAACCACUUCACAAGAAGAUUCUGAAGUUGGCCAUUUUUGAUCCCAGAACAGUUUCUCAUAGAUUAGAAAUAUUGGAGUCUACACAAAAAUCGAUAUUCAUUUACAAGAUCAUCACUAAACUUAUCUUGCAUAACGUAAGUGGCAAGCUCUGACUUGUGAUUUUUUCAUAAGAAAAAUGUUUUUUAACUUAGUAUCAUUUCUACAACAAUGUCCCAUGAUAAUUGAUUCUAGGUGAUUUGAAACACUGCUUAGUCCUGUUUUAGAAAAAGCUCCCAUAUCUGAUUUAGUCUCAUAUGCAGCUUACUUCUAACAUCAGAUUGAAUUUGCAUUGAGUUACCUUACUCGGUUUAUUUUUUAAUUAUGUUGCAGUUACAAGGGAAUAAGGAAAAGUCAGUAUAGUGCAUUGAAAUGUCUUUUUUAAUUGAGACACACAAGAAAUGUGUUAUAGGUUCCCAAACAUUCUUCAUGUAUUAGAGAUGUUAUAAUAAUCUUUUGAAUAGCCAAGUGAAAAGGAAUGGUUUCACCUGAACAUGUUAGAAUUUAUUGCUACAUUUUUUGUGUGUUGUGGUGGAGAAAUAAAUUUUUAAAUCGCAUUUAUGGAGUCAUUUCAGAACAAGUAGAAAACAUGUAAUCUGGUCACUUUGAAUGUGUAAGUGUUUGUAUCUGAACUCCUCCUGCCCUAUUAAGAGUGGAAGGUUGUACUAUAUGUUACUCAAAAAGUAAUUUUCCCCGGAUAUGCAAUAAGACCUCAGAUUUGACCUAUAAGCUGAAUGUCAUAAGCUAUCCAUUAGCUAUGCUGGAAGCACACCACCAACAACAAAAAAGUUUUAAGUAUUUUUAUAGGCUUGCUAAAAUCUGAUUAUAGAACCAAGGCAGUCAAAUACCAUGAGUAAGACUGCAGAAACCCUAGAAUUUAACUCCCUAGUUAUUCUUAAUGAGUGAAUCCUGUGCUUUGUGUCUAAAAGCAAUGUAUUGUGCUUUCCAAUUCAGGAAAUGCAUUUUAAUUGCUAUACUCAUUGAUACAUCAAUCUGUCCAUGACAUUCUGACAUAUAUCCAGUUUCCUAUGGAUUCGGUAUAGGAGCAAAUUAAAAGAUGCACUAGAAUGGUAACAUUUAAUCUAUAAUCCUCCAUUUAACCUUUAUGUGGCUGUCACAGAACAAGUCCUGUUUUUAGAGUUGAACCAAAAAACAAACAAAACAAAACAAAACAAAACAAAACAUGCACACACACUAGAGAAACGGCUUUUUUUUUUUUAACCUGGGGACCAUGAAAAAGUUUUGACCAUUCCCCGACCCCCAUGCUUCAACUUUAGCUUUGAUAGUUAAAGUAUGUCUUCCUUCAGUUUAAGUUGAACAAACUUCUGCAUAAGACCCUCCAGAAAACCUCUGAACACAUACAGUUUUGGGGGCAAUGGGGACUGAACUAUGUACAAAUAGGUGAUACUUCAGCACACAAUUCCUGGGAUAAAUUUUAUCCUCUUCUCAUUUUUAUUUUUAUGAACUAUAUGGGGUUUUUUAAACAAGUUACAAGAAGCAAAACACAUUUUACCUUUACUCUGUUACAUAUUUCAAAUUAAGCAGAUCCUAAUUAAUUGGGUUACAUUAUGUAACAAUAGCCUUUUUAAUAUCAAAUGGUUUUUAUGAUCUGUCUUCAAUUUUUCUUAAAAUGAGACUGCACUAAAGAUUUUCUUGACAUUUCUGAGAAUUUCAUUUUCAGUUUCAAAAAAUUAUUUAUUCCUUUAAUCUUUCAAUGUGGAAAAGUAAUGAAUAUUGAUUCAUUUUUAGAAGCGCUAACAUCCAACUAGGUAAACUUCAUGAGUGAUGGCUAUUAAUGUUCUCUUUCAUCUUAUAGACAGAAAAUCAAAGCUAUUUAAAGUAAAGGAUUUGUUUCAAAUCAAUGUAUGUCCACAAAUUAACAUUAAUGUUUACAAUACUUUCUGUGAUAAUUGUGUCUUACUUGGGUGUAUAUAUGUCUUUAUAUCUAUCUGUAAAGAUAUAGUUGCAAGUAGAUGAGAGACGAAUGUUCAUGUUUCUAUAUGGUCUGAAUAAAAGUGUUAUCACUAUGCUAACUUGCAGUGUUAUAAAAUGCACCAAUGGCUCUUUGUGCCACUCCUUCAUUUUCAGUGGUUACCAAGAUAGUCAAAUUAAACUGCUGAUGUGAUAAUCAUCCAAACAUUUAAUUUUAACACUAUGAUUAUAGAAUUUUUUUAUUUCUAUGAGAUUUACCUAUAGUAGCUUUCUGUUUAAUGUUCAAUGUUCUAUAGGAGUUUCCUUUUAAAUGUUCAGAGCAGGAGCUAUACCCUCUAGGAUAUGCAAAUAAUCAAGUCUUAGCGACCUUAUAAAAUAUAAUCCACAUUAUGAAUCAAACAGAAUGAGCCUUCAGAUCUGAUUGCCUAAGGCUCAAAAUGUUAAUGCUCCUGAAAUGCCUUGUACAUAUUAGCUAGUUGAAAUUGCAUUAAAACAAGAGAACGAAUUGUAGUCUUGACCUCAGUCUCAUUUCACCAGCCUUUGCCUGCUACUGCCAACCUGAGAGGGGAGCUUCUGCUCUGCAGAUGGAUGGACAGCUGCUGAUCUUCACCUCCUGUCUGUUCCCACAAUUCUAAAAGAAUUAGGCCUGAGGAACUUAAUCUUCUGGUGUUCCAUUGUGAACUGACUUUAUUAAAUUUUUUCCAAAGUUCAGUGUUCUUCAGUUCUUUCUCAGAGUACAAAUUGAAGAGACACAGAGCCAGUUCCAAAUGAACUGAAAUUGUUUUGUAAAAAAUUAAUUCAAACAAUAAUGCCAUGGAAAAGCACUUUGAAUUUUUCAAUUCCCAGGCUAUUGAUUCUAAAAAAGAAACAAUUCUAAAUUAUCCACAUGUUCUCAUUUAUUAGUCUAGAGCUCUUGCCCAAAGAAUUAUUUGCCAAGGUAAUAUAUAGAACAUCAGGAUGAUUUACUUGCUUUUCUAAUACCAUUUUGCCCACAAACUCUAUGGAACUGAAAGCAUGUCAGCAGCAAAAGAAGGUCCACUAGCAGCUAUAAAAGAGAGCUUACUAAUGAACAAUAAAUAUCUAAAAGUAAAGGGAAAGGAGCCAAAUUCCAUUUUCAAAAGCCAAAAUUCUGCAGUAGGUAAAUAUCACAGAUAGCAUUGCUUAUUAUUUAUAAUCACUACUAAGAGUAAUCUAUCAUUUCUUUAAAUCCUCAAAAUAGGUCUCUGCCAGCCACAUUAACUGCCUGCAGAAAAGUUUGUUAUGACUGCCUGGUUUUGUAAAGUCCAGACAACUUUACACUAAGCUGAAUAAUGUUCAUUUACUCAAAAGCUAGUCUAAAAUUGUAGAGUUAAUGAACACUAAACCAAAGUUAGUGCUUUAACUGAAAGAUAAUUUACUGUACCCUUUGGAGUCCAGUCCGGUACCAUCAAGAUCUGGGAAAAUACAACUGUUACCAAGAAUAACUGUAAAAUGUGCUGGGAAUGCAAUGUCCUGAGAUAAGGAAGAACUGCCUGAAACAGCCUGGAUCUUAUUCCUGUACUUCCUAGGGAAUGUAACAUCUCAAGUUAAAGAGGAACUGCCCGGAACAGCCCGGGGAUUGUUCCUCUCUCCUGAGAAGGAAGAUUACCUCCAAAGCUCAUCCACUGAGUCACACUGCCCCUGUGGUGGAGGGCGGGCUGCCUUUCCAGGUUCCUCAGCUGUGGUGUAACUGAAGCAGGCACAAUCAAGACUCCAUCUGCUCGAGGCAGCUUUCUCGAACCUUGGGGAACCUACUCACAAUGGAUCACAGGCUUCUUUUGUUUUGUUUCUUGCUGCCUAUCUGUAAGUAAUUAACUUGCUUCAUGUAACGUGUUGCAUAUGAGUGUGUUCUGUCUCAUAGACUCAGGGAAUUGGUAACACUGCAGCUGAGGACGCAGUGGACAGAAGUGUUCAGACUCCUGUUCCUUGUGGUUGACACAGUGAUGAUGAUCUCUUCUGUCCUCCACAGAGUGGAAGUCCUCUCUUGGGAUUGGUUAUUGGUGAAACCACUUCGCAAUUUAUUAAGAUGGCAAAAGCUUACGGAGGGACAGAUUUGAGGGGAAGAUCAAGAUUUUUCUGUCAGUAUUGCAAAUAGUCAAGAAUAUGUGGUCCAAGAAGUGAUCAUUAUCUUUGGCAUUGUGCAAGUCAUUAGUGACCUUCACAUGAACAGUCUCAGUGGAGUGUUGGAGGAAAAAGCCUAACUGAAGAAGGUUCAAGAGUGAAUGGAAAAAGAGCAGUAGUAUGUGGAGAGUACAGACAAGUAUUUCCAGGAGCCUUUCUGUAAAGAGUGGUAGAGAAUGGGACAUCAUUUUUGGAUGGGGGAAGAGUUAUUUAUAGCAUGUUCAUAUGCUAAUGGAAGUGAUCUACUCAUGGGGAAAAUCUUGAUGAUGCAAGAAAGAAAGGGAUUUGUUGGAAUCUUGUCCUAUAACGGGUGAGAGGGGAUGGGUUCUAGAAGAAAAGGCAUGGGUCUUUGUUUGAGAUCAGGCAAUUCAUCUGUAGGAACCAGUAGGAAGAUGGUUAAGUGGGUACCUGUGGUAGUGGAUGUUUGUGAACAUUCUUUUCUUUUCCAUUGUUUCUAUUUUCUCAAUAAAGUGGGAAGCAAAAAUCAGCUGAGUGAAGAUGAGGAAGAAGGUGUUAAAGGUUUGAAGAAAAAAGGAAAAGGAUAUACUAAUCUAAGAGGACAAGUAAGUAGAACAUAGAUAAUGAAAAUGCUGGCCCUUAGGACUGUUGGGCCUAAAUGCUCAUAUUAUAUUGGUAGUCACAAAUUUGAACUUUCUCUAGAGCCAAUUUUUGCAUGUGUGUGCAGGCCUGGAGUAGUUGGAGAGUUGGAUUUAAUAGAAUUGAGGGUCAAGCAACUACAACCAGGGAAGAGUGGGACAAGGGAGAUAAAGGAUAUUGGCAGGGGAGCAAUUAUAAACAUGGACCAUGAUCAAAACUGGACAGGAAGGAAAAUAGAGAUAAGAGGGGUGGAAGGUUAAAAAUAGUGAAAAUGAGAUAGAAUGAAUAGGUUGUAGGUCCCUGUAAAGUUGAAGAAGUAUUAUUAUGCAGUACUCGUUAUUGAAAUGAGGUCACUAUGCUUAAGGCACAGUGAAUCCUAGAAAAUAGUGGUUUUGUUUCUCAUUAGGCAAUACAUUCCUCCUUGCUCCAGAAUGCAACAUACAUGUAUCCUUUUCUGUACUAUUUUUUAUUAAGAAUUCAUACUUAAUUCCACUGACUGCCACUCAAUUUUAAUGUACAGUAGGGAAUUCCUGUACUAUGUAUUAUGAAUCCAUUCCUUUGAAUUUCAUUUAUAAUACUUCAUGACUGACACCUGGCUUUCCACCAAGACUCAAUUUUCAUAGCAAGCCUCAUCAUCAUAAGCCCCCAAAUUAACAGGAUGAGGAGGAAGAAUUGGCAGGCUAAAGAAGAUGAUUAUAUCAAUUAAUGCAGAAAAAGCAUUUGAUAAAAUCCAAUAUUCAUUUGUAAUUAAAAACUCUCAGCAAGUUAGGGAUAGGAAUUACUUCAACUUAAUGAAGAGUGUCUUUAAAAACCUUAUUUUCAUCAGUUAUAACAAAUGUACCACUCUGGUGGUGAAUGUUGCUAAGGAGGGAAGCUAUACAUGUGUGGGGAAAGGAGAUGUGUGAGCAAUUUCUGUACCUUCUACUCAAUCUUCUGUGAGACUAAAAUUGC
This is a long non-coding RNA of Homo sapiens (human), 7270 nucleotides long. Ensembl annotates it as TRHDE antisense RNA 1. Its record names the gene TRHDE-AS1. Lineage: Eukaryota; Metazoa; Chordata; Mammalia; Primates; Hominidae. The record is from Ensembl.